This 812-nucleotide ribosomal RNA is filed under the name uncultured bacterium. RNAcentral's name for it is "bacterial SSU rRNA". It matches the Rfam family "Bacterial small subunit ribosomal RNA", at positions 8 to 809 of the family's 1533-position model. The record is from RNAcentral.
AGAGUUUGAUCCUGGCUCAGGAUGAACGCUAGCUACAGGCUUAACACAUGCAAGUCGAGGGGCAGCAUGGUCUUAGCUUGCUAAGGCCGAUGGCGACCGGCGCACGGGUGAGUAACGCGUAUCCAACCUGCCGUCCAGUAGGGGACAGCCCGUAGAAAUGCGGAUUAAUACCCUAUGUUCUCCGAGGAUGACAUCAGAUUCGGAGUAAAGAUUCAUCGCUGGACGAUAGGGAUGCGUCUGAUUAGGCAGCAGGCGGGGCAACGGCCCACCUGGCCGACGAUCAGUAGGGGUUCUGAGAGGAAGGUCCCCCACAUUGGAACUGAGACACGGUCCAAACUCCUACGGGAGGCAGCAGUGAGGAAUAUUGGUCAAUGGGCGCGAGCCUGAACCAGCCAAGUAGCGUGAGGGAAGACUGCCCUACGGGUUGUAAACCUCUUUUGUUCGGGAAUAAAGUGCGGCACGCGUGCCGUUUUGUAUGUACCGUUCGAAUAAGGACCGGCUAAUUCCGUGCCAGCAGCCGCGGUAAUACGGAAGGUCCAGGUGUUAUCCGGAUUUAUUGGGUUUAAAGGGAGCGCAGGCGGCCCGUUAAGCGUGACGUGAAAUGUAGUUGCUCAACAUCUGCACUGCGUCGCGAACUGGUGGGCUUGAGUUCACGGUAGGAAGGCGGAAUUCGUGGUGUAGCGGUGAAAUGCUUAGAUAUCACGAAGAACCCCGAUUGCGAAGGCAGCUUUCCGCAGUGUUACUGACGCUCAUGCUCGAAAGCGCGGGUAUCGAACAGGAUUAGAUACCCUGGUAGUCCGCGCGGUAAACGA